RNAcentral lists this transfer RNA (78 nucleotides) under Propionibacteriaceae bacterium. RNAcentral's name for it is "tRNA-Leu". It matches the Rfam family "tRNA". Rfam says of the family: Transfer RNA (tRNA) molecules are approximately 80 nucleotides in length. Their secondary structure includes four short double-helical elements and three loops (D, anti-codon, and T loops). Lineage: Bacteria; Bacillati; Actinomycetota; Actinomycetes; Propionibacteriales; Propionibacteriaceae. The record is from RNAcentral.
GCCCUCGUAGCCCAAUUGGCAGAGGCAGGCGGCUUAAACCCGCCACAGGUGCGGGUUCGAUUCCCGUCGGGGGCACCA